Molecule: long non-coding RNA, 5902 nt
Organism: Capsicum annuum
Lineage: Eukaryota; Viridiplantae; Streptophyta; Magnoliopsida; Solanales; Solanaceae
Exons: 3
Source: RefSeq, a predicted model, not a curated record
CCUGACCCUGGCAGGGCAUCUCACUCUUAUCAGUACCACCUUGAAUACAAUAACGAACCAUGUGAUGCAAUUCCAUAACAUUCCUACUAGCAUACUUAACACGCUAGAACACUGUGAACAUCACUUCUUAGAGGACUCUAACCAACAAAGAAAGAGGCUUCACCUUCUAACAUGGGACCAAGUUACCCAAGUCAAAGCCAAGGGAGGUUUGGGAAUCCAGCGCCUAUGACCUAAAAAUGAUUCUCUUCUCGCUGCUACUUCUAGGAGACUAUUCCAGAACCUACAAUCUCUCUAGUCAUCUUUCCUGAUUUCUCUCUACUAUGCCUCAUCUGGUUCCCAAAGAUGAACUAUCCCGUCUAUAAGUUGGAAAGAUCUCCUUAAAGGAUGGAAUAUCUGCCAACUGGAUUUUGUUUAGCAUAUCCGAACUGGAACCAAUGUUAGAUUCUGGACUGACCCUUGAAUUGGGCCAAAAAUACACCUACGAUCUUUUAUUUCAGGGCCUUUUAGAACCUCUGACGACCAGCGAACAGUCGAAUCUUGCCUUCACAACCAUACAUCUCUCUCCUUUAAUCUACCAUCUUAGAUUCGAUACCUAAUUAACACUCAUUACUUCUCCCAGGACCCCAACACUAAUAAGGGCUACGACCAGAUCAUUUGGGGCCUCACUCCUACAGGUAGAUUCACCGUUAGAUCAUGUUAUCAUGCUCUUACUCUAACUCUCUCCACCCCAGACCAUUAUACCUAGAUUUGGAAACUUAAACUCCCCCCUAAACUCCACACUUUUCUUUGGCUAAUCAUUAAUCAACCCUUACCAACAUCUGUGUAUCUUUACCACAUCGGAAUCCUCCAAUCCCCCAUUUGCACAACCUGCCACUUUGUACCUGAAUUUAUUGACCAUAUAUUUUGCCACUGUUCUGCUGCCAAAGCUCUUUGGCACCAACUUCAACUUCUUCAUUAGAUUCUAUCAUUGCUAGGUUCUACCUCUUCUGCACCAUCUACUUGGCUCAACUAUUUACUUUAUAGGCACCAUUUACCUUCUCUUGUGUUAUCCAUACCAUCGACUAUCUUCUUCUCCUUCCUACUCUGGUAUCUCUGGUUAACUCGAAAUAAAAACACAUUCAAAAAUGCCAAAAUCCAACCUUCACUACAUGCAGUUCUUAUGCUUAGUCGUGAAUUUUGCCACGCACGUCAGCUUACCAUCUCAACACACCAUCCCAACAGACAUUCUAUGACUCGAACACUACCUACUAUCGAUCCUAACACUAUCUUUCUCCAUAUUGAUGCUUCCGAUCCCACUAUAUCUGCUCUGGCGGGGAUCGGUGGGGCUCUCAGAACCCACUCAGGUCCCUCCUAAAACUGCUCCAUGAUCCUCUUAUCUACCACAUGUACAGGGAGUUCAACAUAGUAACAGACAGUUUGACAAAUUUUGGUACAUCAAUCACGGGAAGUGAUAUCACAUUUUGGUUUGAAGCUCCUCUUUUCGUACGUAAACUACUAGAUAUAGAUAGUGAAAGGUUUAGUAAUAAUAGGUUUCAUCUUGCUUCCCCAUUUCCCUACCAUCCUCUGAUUUGUAAUGCAGUUCUUCCUGCACCUAGUACUUCUAACGAUUGUGUUUGUAAUAAUGCCUUCGGGCACCUCCCUGUACUGUUUUAAUAUAUACUAGUGUUAAUCUUGUUUACCAAAAAAAACAAUUAAACAUACUAUAUACUUGCAUAAAAUGUUACCAUACUUCGCUAUGGUAAAAAUAAGAGGAAGGAUAAACAUUAUUACAAGAACCAUUUUACUUUAGAAAGCUAAAGAAGAGAAAAGUAGAAGAAAUACAGUUAUUCACAUAAAUAUUUUUUCAUAUUAAUUCAAAAUUAGAUAAGUUGAAAAAUAUCUCAUUUAGCUUCAUUUUCUCAUUGCUAUCAAAGAAAUAAUAAAGGAAAUAUUGUAUAUCAUUAAGUGAAUACAAUUUACUCUUUUUUUUGCUAUUUAUAUAUUUGGAUGAAUAUAAAAAAAAAUUAUUUUUAAGCAUAACAAGCUCUUUCUUAACCAUACGAAGUGCACAAAAAAUUCUCUAAGCAAUAUAUAAUAAUAAAGGAGAAUGCAGAAGAGGUGAUGUGGCAACUCUCAAUGGCUUCUAUUCCUAUUUUUCUUUUUUUUUCUCUCUUUCUUGUUAUUUUUUCAUCAUUUUUUCUUAUUUAUUAUAUUUAGAAGCUCAUGUAAAGUCAAUACUAGAACAAACGUAGAAAGUAAAUGAAAGAAAUGAAGGGUCAUGGCAAUUAACAUCGGCGUCAGUUACCACAAAUUUAAGAAUUAAUUUUUACCUUACCCUGUCAUUACAUUGCAUCUGAAAUGUAUUUUCAUUCUCAGAGUGAGAAAGACAAGCCUCUCUCGACUGCACCUUUGUUUUAGCGAGUUUUGACCCACACGCCAAUGGAAAGCGAGGAUCCAUCCCCACCAAACCCUCCUGGAAUGGACGAUAGCCAAAUGGCAGCUGAUCCAAAUACCAAAAUAUCGUAUAGUGAUAAAGUGAAGGAAUACAAAUACUCAAGUUCCAAAUCCUUCAAUUCCCUCUUUGAGUAAGAGGAACCACCAAAUACUUAUCCACAAGAAUACGACUAAAUCCCUUUAACCACAGAAGAAAAAAUCUGAAUCCACAACCCAUGGAAAUUCCCAAUCAUUAUUAAGGUAUUUAGCCAGAAACUAAACCAUCAAUACCUAAAAAUUAAAAUCACGGAUCUAUGGAAAGUAAAAGAAUAUAUUACCUUAAUAGAUCAGGGGAUUGAUUUCCUUAAGGUCAAAUUUAGCAUGAAAGACGGACAAAAAAGGGUUCUACAAGAGGGACCCCGGUUUAUUGUAGGGUCCUUCCUGGCGGUUCGCAAUUAGAAACCCAAUUUCAUUCCCUCCGAAAAAAAUCCAAUCCACUACGGUUUGACUUUGGUUACCUCAGUUACCCAUAGAGUUUUAAGAUCUAACAAUUCUUAAAAAUACAGGGAGAAAAUUAGGGAAAUUAGUCAAUAUCAAAGCAUGCACAUCUCCAACUCUACGCAGUAUGUAUGCUAGGGUUUAUGUACAAGUCCCAGUAGAGGUCCCGAUAAAAACAACUAUCACAAUUAGAAAUCAUUAACAUACCAUUUUGUAUAAAGGGGACAGGUUUCUUUGCAAGGCUUGUAGUCGUUUGGGUCAUACAGCCGGAAAUUAUUAAUAUUCAAAAGUACAAAACCAUAACCUGGUGAUCAUGACUCCAACCCCCAACAAAGGAGGAUCAACCACAAGAAUGAAAAAUUGUCCAAUUCAAGCGAGGGAGGAAUUAGAAACCAAUGGAUAAGUCAAGAGAGGAUCCAACCCCCCACCCCAAAGUAACAUCAAGGUCAAUCUCUUUGAUGCUCAAUCACGUAAGUUUUUAGAGACCCAUAACUUCCAAUACCUUUCAUCUUCAUUCUCUCUAGCUACCUCGAUCAGAGACAAUAUAGGGCCAAAACCUGAGAAGGUCAAGUUGGGUCACUCACAAGCAGACAACAAAAAGCUUGGGCUAAGGGUUUCUAACCCAAGCCCAACUAAAAAGUGGCUUAUUACUUGGUAGCUGCCUUUGGGUCAAAAGAUAUUCUAGCCCAACCCACUCACUCCUCUCUUAAUUUAAUUGGGCUAAUUAACCCAAAAUAAAAACAUGUUAUUAAUAAUAACUUGGUGAAAGACCCCACCUUCAAUAAAUCAAAAGAGGCAAAUCCAACUAAUAGUGGUUAUACCUCAGAUUAUGCUCUAAACUCUCUAAGUGGUUUUCCUCGAGAUUCUAAUUCCUCCUAUUUUUUUCACUCAAAUAGUUCUUCUUUUAUCAAUCAAAUUGAAAUAUUUGAUUUGAAUUCUAAGAAAGUAAUAGUCAUAUCGAUAGAGGAAUCAUUAGGAACUAGCUCCACAAAAAAUAACCCCUUUAAUAUGGUUACUUAUUGCACUUUCUCCUCUAUCUUACCAACUCUUAUUCUAGAGUCUCACAAUCUCCCUACUCUUGAUCAUAAUGUCCUUUCAACCUCCAGUAAUGGAAGUACAGCUAGGAACCAUCACACUUAUAACAGAACCAUUUCCAUUAAGCCACCAAUCUACACCAUGGCUAGAGAUGGUCCUCUUAAAUCAAGUUGUCCCCUUCAGAGUCCAAAUAUAAGGGAAAUAAUACAUUCUGAUCAUCUAGAACCCCCUUUACUUAGCCCAGCUGAUCAUGGAGGGUUUUUACUUAGGAUUAGAGAAAUUUGGUCAGAAUAUAUGAAGGACAGUUUUGAUUGGUUUUAUCAGCCAACCCUUUCAAGGGAUCCUAUCUCUAGAGACACUGGUAGUAAUUAUAAACUAAGCCAGUCUCACUCUACCCUUUAUUCCUCAGAGUAUUCCAGGAAGGCUGGAAUCACGACCAACCUUUGUGAGGGUCCCUCAGGUCCCCCUACAUAUAUGGACCCUCGGCCUUUGAAUUAGAACCUAGAAAUGACAAGAGGAAAAAAUUCUAAACUCUUAGAGAUAAAAACAGUAGAGAAAUCAAUUUGAUCUUGGAAUCCCUCAAAAUACCAAGAUCAGAGGUACUUGUACUAGAAAGUCAGUAGCUUCGAGGAUUGAGGAUGCGAUAAUUGAAAUAGAAAUAAUUCUCCUACCACAAACCUUAAUAACGUUCAGUCUAGAGUCUUUCUACCAGAGACAAGGAGCCCUAACUAUUGCUUCAGAACCAAAAUAUCCCCCAUGAAAAUGAAAAUUAAGAACACAAAAUCUUUUAUUUUCCACCCCCUCUAGAGAAGGGGAAGGAGAUUCUUUUGGAACCACCCCCACAACCAAACAAGCUCCUGAUGAACUACAUAUUAUGGAAUGAUAGGGGAGCCCAUAGCUCUGAGCUUAGGUGAAAUUGUAGGUCAAUGGUGUAUAUCCAUAAGCUAUCCAUUCUUACCCUGCUUGAAAAUAAAAUGAGUGGACAUUAAGCUAUCCUUGAGAAGUUAGGAUUUUCUAACAAAAUUUAAUACCCGACUUCUGGAAAUUCUGGAGGACUUACCAUCAUGUGGAGUGACAAUAACCUUUACAUCACUAAUAUAUAUUUGUCCCAGCAGACCUUUCAUGUUUCAUUCUAGUUAGAGAAGGGAGAGAUAUUGUAAGAAGCUCAGACCCACAGAUGACUGGAUGAUUUCAAAAUCCCUAGCUGCUCAAGUUAAAGAUCUGACCUCUGGACCCCUGAUCUACUAAGAGUCCUAUUUUUGUUGGCUGUUGUAGAUAGGCUAAGUAGUUAUUUUCUCUUUUUGUAUGCCUUCUGACACUGUAAAUAUGAUGCAUAUGGAUAACUUUGCUGUAGCACCUCCAGUCUUUCUAUGUUUUGGAUACUGCUAGCCUUAAGUAUGAACAUUGGUGCUUAUCACUGUUUAGAAUCUUUCUACCCAUGCUUGGUAUCUGUUGGAAUAUUAUGUAUGUAAAGGACUCUUCUUCCAAAAAUAUAUUGGCCAAGUAAUCUUCUAAUUAGUUGCCUUCUCUAUAGAUAUGAACUAUCUGAACUUGCUUUAUAGCUAUUAAUUGCCAUAUUUCCCUAAUUGUAUCUUAUAGGUUCCAUGGCAUCUCUCAUUCCCCUAUUAACAACUUAUGCGUCAUUAAUGAAUCUGUCUGUAUUAUCACUUUGUCUUGCCCUAAUGAAUUGUUAUGUCUUGUUGCAUUUAGAAUAGCCAUAGCCUCUGCUUCCAAGCUAUUUGUAUCCUCCAUUGAAGCUUCUUCUGCAUGAAUUAGAUCCCCUUUUUCAUCUCUUAAGCAAAAAGCCCAAAGUAAAUUCUCUAGAUGGUCGCCCAUGUUAGGGAAAUUGCCUACAAAUAUCAUUUUUGUUUCAUUUAGGACAAGAAUAUCACUCAACUUUUUCUAUUUUCCUUAAAAUAUACUUAACACCUCAAAAAUCCUCUCUCUCCUACUUGAA